GGGCGGUUUGGCUUAUGACCCUAGCAUUGCGACCUCACUUCCUUGGCGACAGGUCCAAACAGAACUCGGAACCCUGGAGUCACUGGGCACCACAGUCCAGCGACGGCUGCCUAACAGUCACUUGGCUGGAGAGAGUCAGCAGCGAUCAUGCUGUGCUGCUUUCCCAGGCCUCGAGGCCGCAGCAACAGGACCCCGCACAGGGAAAGGACUUGGACGCAAGUGAGAGGAUGGAUGGCUAAGUCCCCAUGCUUCAGGCCACUCACCAGGAACUACCUGGCCAUCAGGGGCAGCCCAGGGCAGAUCUCCCGGGACCUGGACACCAGACACUUGGGGCCACCGAGUCCAGGACAGGUCCAGUCAGGCCCGGCCACCACUGUUUCCCACCUCCAACGUCAUUUCUGCCUCCUCUAUGUUGAGAGCCACAUGCUGUGAGAUAAAGAGCCAACAAUAUGGUGGAGAAAUAAGCAAGCAGAGACCAAGGGGACUUGGAAUGCACCGCACAGUGACCAGGGUCAGGCAGAUGCUGACUCACAGCAAGAAAACAGAGCAUGCCAUCUGCCAUGAGCUCAUUAUGAGGGAUGAGUGGAGUCUGGCACCUGCUCUUGGACCUCCAGAACU
This is a long non-coding RNA of Heterocephalus glaber (naked mole-rat), 618 nucleotides long. The record is from Ensembl. Lineage: Eukaryota; Metazoa; Chordata; Mammalia; Rodentia; Bathyergidae.